UCUUUCUAUCUUUGAUUGACUGGCAGCUAACGCUCACAGGAAAACGUUGUUUUCUACCGUUUUUUGACCAGUUAGCCGACUAAACCUGCUGAUAAGAUGAAAAUAUAUUUGUUAUUAUGUGUUUUGAGUGCUUCAAGACAUGGAAGAGGGAUUUUUGUGGCCAGGAGAAGUAAAAUUAUUUGGAUAAAAAGACUUCCGGUCGCCAUUUUGAGUCGCUAAUUUGGACAUAUUUGAGGACAAAUAUGCAUCAAAUAAUCUUCUUGAAGAUGAAAUCMGAGGCAGUGAUUGGUCCAUGCCGGGGUUUCGUAACGUCAUCCAGGAUCAGCUUUGCAAAUCAUCUCUUCGCAUGAUUCUAUUGGAAUGUUUUAUGGGUGUGUCCAAACGACUCGACAGCGCCACCUAAUGUGAGAGAGGAACUGCGAGGCCAUUGUGAGAGCAGUGAGUGCUUGACCACAGAGGGGAAGUUGGCUCGGAGAAAAGGAAGUGCUUGGCGCAGCAAGUCAGGGACUAAAAACUUCUGGAAUUUCUUCAGAUCUUUACGAUGUCGAUCCGUCCAGGACGGCAGCGCAGCCGACUGAACAGUGAUUUUCCGGCUGUAAAGAGACGACCACAUUCAGCCACGUCUGCCAGGACCAGCGGAGGAAAACUCACGUUGUGUCCAACCCAUCUGGACCCAGACAGGAUGUGGUUCCUGAACAGUUUUCAGACUUCAAAACUGAAACUUUAUAUAUAAAUCCAGGUUCUACACAGUUCCCAUCACAAGACGUGCCUGAAUGCUGACAUACAUACUUUUUAUGAUCUGAGAGCAACGAAUAUCCAGGAAGACGCCGACAGGAGGAAGGUCCAGCUGCAGCCACUACAAUUAUUGGACAGCAGGAAAAGCUGAUCGAGGUAAACAAUGACUAUAGCUGCGUUUCCAUUGCAAAUGUGCACAAAACUUUGUCCAUUAAGUAAGAAAUGUUAU
Long non-coding RNA from Austrofundulus limnaeus, 964 nucleotides. RefSeq lists it as uncharacterized. The record is from RefSeq and is a predicted model, not a curated record. Lineage: Eukaryota; Metazoa; Chordata; Actinopteri; Cyprinodontiformes; Rivulidae. The transcript has 7 exons.